Molecule: unclassified non-coding RNA, 231 nt
Filed under: Hevea brasiliensis (rubber tree)
Lineage: Eukaryota; Viridiplantae; Streptophyta; Magnoliopsida; Malpighiales; Euphorbiaceae
Source: RNAcentral
UUUUUUUUUUUUUUUUUUCUUUGUGCAAUAUCUUUAAUCUUUACACUAAUUUAGCUUUCUCCUUCAUUUGACUUAUUGUUCACUUUCUAUCACUUUACAAUCUUCAUUAAUUAUCCUCAUUCUCAUCGUGGUUCUAUAGAAAUUAAUUAGUUUCAUUCAUACCCGAAAAGGGUAUUGAUACCCUUUUGCUUUCUUUCUGCUCUGCUAUUAUUUUAUCAUAAAUAUAUCAGG